CAUCGCUCCGCGGCGAUGGCGGCCGUGGCGGCGCGGCGGCGGACGGGCGGCGGGGAGCGGCGGCGGCAGGGCAGCGCACGGAGGAACGCGAGUCCGCGGGAUGCGCGCGGCGGGCGGCUGUGGGCCGCGUGCUUCGUCUCCGCCGCUCUCGUCGCGGCCGCCGGCGCCUUCCUGGCGUGGAGCUCCUGGAGCACUGAGGACGGCGUCGCCGAGGUGUUGGCCGGGCGAGGGGAGACGCUGCUCGACAAGUUCGUGGAGGUGCCGUGCUCCGGGGACUACGACGGCUACCAGAGGUUUGAAGGGUGCACUCCCAGGAGGUGUGGAAGAGGUGUGAGUGAUGCUGUGAUCACCAGGGAGGAAGCAGAAAGAAUCCGUAGAAUAGCAGAGAGGGGACUGUCCUUGGGAGGAUCAGAUGGAGGGGCAUCAAUUUUGGACUUGCACUCUGGAGCUCUUUCACUAGGGAAGCAAUUUGUUAAUCUGUACAGGUUCUUUGGGGACAAAAUUCAAGACAUCUUCACAGAAGAGGAUUUUGCAUUAUAUCGUGAUGUGAGACAGAGAAUUCAACAGAAGAUUGCUGAGACCUUUGGUAUCAGCUCUUCUUCCAUGUACCUGACUAAGCCAACAUUCUUCUCUAGAAUAAACAGUACAGAAGCCAAGACAACACAUGAUGAAUACUGGCACCCACACGUUGACAAGGUGACUUAUGGCUCCUUUGAUUAUACUUCACUGCUCUACCUCUCCGACUAUGCUGAAGAUUUUGGUGGUGGACGGUUUGUGUUUAUGGAUGCAGGAUCCAACAAGACAAUAGAGCCCCAAGCAGGGCAUUUCUUGAUAUGAGCAGAAGUUACCUUUGUAUUUAUGGUUCAGUGAUAUGCUAAAUCUAAGUACGAAGUGCACCUCCACCAGGAGUCUAGAAUCUGGAACUUUGGCAUCUGUGUGAUUUGACCCCAGCUGUGCUUAACAUGGUGUAUUUAGCAAAGGCAAGAAAAGGAAAACAGGCGAUCCAGAGGUACAGGAAUCGUUUAGAGAAGCUCGUGCCUUCUCUUCUCCCAUAAACCUUGGCAGAACAUCCAGGCUCAAGUCUCACCUGAAGAACAACCAAUAUAAACUUGAUUUAUGUCUGGGGUGAAAUCCACAUCAGCAGUAUAAUUGUGUGCAGGUAGGUAGGAUGCACACCCAUCAGCUGUUCUUUCUUUCUGAUAGUGAAGGCAUUGCCUUCAAAAGGGCUUCCGCCUUUAAUGCAUGAGAGACAGCGCUGCCAAAUGCCAGUAAUUCUUAUUGUGCCAUUACAGAAAAUGUAAGGUUUUUUUGCCUAGCAAUACGGUGUUUGGGGAGGGGGAAGACUUCAAACCAAAAUGAAUUAGCAAUUAAUCCCAAGGACAUGACUGUGCAGUUUCCCAGGCAGUGCUUCUGACUUAGUGUCAUUCAGCAGACAAAACGCUGUUUUUUUUUGUCCGUGAGUAACAUUUAGAGCUGGUAAAUGCUAAGCAGACAGUCAGAGCUGUCAUACGUGGGAUGAAAGACACUGAGUAGAUCCAUAGUGCCAGAUAAACUCUAACUGCUUCCCUUUAAUCUGGCAGAGGAGUUGCUUUGUUUCCUUUCCAGCAGCAGCUCAGUCCCUCCAGUGACUGCCAGCUGCUCAGGAUGGUGCCUGAAGGUGAAAUCUCUUGCAUCCCUCCCCAUCCCCCACCCGGUCCCAUCCUUCCCUGGUGUCCAGCCCUGGUUGGUGCUGGUGAAAGGAGGAUGGUGAGGGGUCAGUUAAGCUCUCCUUUACCCGCUUUCAUGGUUGAGUGUUGCUCUAGACAAUCGUAACAUGUGAUUUGCAGUUUUUGCUUGAUGUUUGUGUGAGCCAAGGAGUUUACAGGGAAGUUUAGCAAUGAGUUAAACUAGAAGGGCCAAAAGGAUGCUGCCAAGAAAGCAAAAGCUGUGGAGUCAUGUGAAAGGUGGGAGCAUGAAGGGGUUGGAACCCAGCAGCAACAUGAGCUUGUUGCAAAAAGGGAGCUGCAGAAAUUGAUGGCUGACGUUGAUAUUAAUGAAUGGCCUAUUCCAUGUAAAAUCACAGUAACUGAAGUCAGAGGGAUUUCUGGAGAUCUUCUAGUCACGGCUUCCUGGUAGAGAAAUGAUCACCGGAGAUGCAAAUCAUGUGUAUCUGAAAUACAUGCUUGGGAAGUUUCCUAUCUAAAUGUGUCCUGAUCUACUAAUGUUUACUUUUAAUGCUGUACUUGUGUGCUAAUGAUAGGACCCUGAGCAACCUGAUGUGACUUGGAUGUAAUUUAGAAGUUAUCCAUCUCCUUUCCAAAAUGAUGGCUAAGAUGUCCUCCCAAGGUUCUUCCAACUGAAAUUCAGUAGUGAACCUAUAAUUCUACAUGCAGUAAAUCUAUGAUGAGAAGUGUAAUAAUCUUGUAGUAUGUGAGGUUUUUUUCUUCUGUGCAUUGUGAUAUCAUAACACUUCUGUAGUUGUUAAGUCCUUUUAUUUAUUCUCUACAUUAUAAGUUUUACAUACCUUUCUAUUUAUUCUCUUGCCAGAAUAGAUACAGGCAACAGAACAUACUCUUUAUCAUACCUGUUAAGCAGCAAUGUGUUAACUGCAAAGUACUGUACUGGUGUUUACUAAUUAAUUUGUACAAUAACCCAGUUAGAAUACGUCAUCUUCAUUUUAGAAACGUGCAAACAAAUGAGAAAUUAAAUGGUUUUGGUCAAAGUUGCCCUGCAUGUCAGGGGCAUAGUUGUUAAUGAAAUAUUUUUUUGUAUGUGUGUAUUCUUCCAGUCUAUAUUGCUCCCAGGACUGAGCCUAGGUAGAGAACUGUAGGCAGUCUGCUUACAAAAAUGUAACUGAAUGUUGAGAUUCAGCAGGGAUAACAUCUCCAGAGAGCAAACCUCAUGGGAAUACUGUGAGAUGUUGCUGAAUGGCAAACUAAAUGGGCCGUCCCUGCUGCACUGUGAAAUAUGCCUUGAUUUUGCUUCUGCUUAAGUAUUUUUUGUGAAUAGUGUUACUUGAUCAAAAUUGGGGUCAUAGGCAACUCAUAGCAGCGGAUCUUGUGGCUGGUGCUUAUGUCUUUAUAACUAAUGAUUCCUGUGGAUCAGUGCAAAAAUUGCUUCUCAAAAAACAAAACAAAACAACAAAACAAAAACCCAAAAACUCCGGAAAGCAAGAAUCUGCCUCUAAUGUACUUACAGCCUUCCUCCCUUUCCAUUUUCUCCACAUCAUAAGCUUUUCUCAGCCUGACGGCAUUUGAGAGCUUGACUUGUGUCAGUGACAAGGAAGACCAGGGCUCAGUUUUGAUGGAUGUUGUCAUGCUGAGCUUGUUAGCAAUUCCUUGGCUUGGACUGGUGUGAGAAGCUGACAUAUUUAAAUGAGUUUGUGUGAGUUUUUUUAAACUCCAGUACAACUCUCCUUUUGGUUACUUUUGUAAAAGCUUCUAUGUGAGGAUAACAUCAAAAAGGAACCAAAAAAGCAGCUGUGGAUGAAACCAGUGCAGAAGCAGAGCUGGAGAAGUGUCUGUGAGUAAGCAAGGGAAGUGGCUGCACCACAAUAACACCUUAUCCAGUCUGCAGGGAAUGGAAGCUCAUCAGCUAAUCUUCUGUUGUAACAAACUCCAUCAUGAGAACAUUUCUAGGAAAAAUGGAGGGGAUGAGAGAACAGUUGUAGAUACAAGCAUUCUUAGAUCAAAGGCAAGGACCGAUUGAUUCCUUCUGUUCCUGUAGAGAAUGCAGGCUGUGGGCAAGCUAGUUAUUUAGAAACAGUCUCCUGUAGGUAUUCAGGUUACCAUAAAUCUUUUUUUCUUUGGAUUUUAUUUUUGCUAGUAUACAAAGAAAGAUGAAAACAAGUGCAUUUGUGGAGAGCAUCGUUGAGCAACGAAGAAACUCACUCCCAUGUUGCAGUGAGGAAGUUCUGCUCUUCCAUGGACCAGCUCACUCUGUAACUGUUGUGCAGUGUUAUGGAAUCUUGAAGCCAUUUGAGAGCAGCUGUAGAGUUGUGUUUGUGUCCAGAAAAGAAAGCAAGGCCACCAAUGGAAAGGUCUUCAAAAUUGUCAGUAUUUUUACCUAAUACAGGAACUGGAUGCCCAAGUGUUAAAAGCAUUAAAUUGUCAGAUGUGCUGCCCUAAUUGCUGUGGUAUGUCUUGUCUGAUUCAGUUCCUCUGGAAUGGCAAGUGGAGGUGAGAAAGAGAUGGAGAGUAGAUGUGGGAGGGCAGCCCACAGUGCUUCCUUUGCUCUUGUGGAUCUGAACUCUUCCCUGAGGCUGAGGUACUGGUUAAAGUGUGAAACCAAACAGGCAAUGGAGUUUUUGGCAUCUUGCAGUGAUUGGGGGAAAAUGUGAGUCAAAUGUUUAUGUUCAGGAUAAAAUACUUUUCAGACUUGAUUUAUCUCAGAGGCAAAAACAAACAAACAAAAAAAAGACAACACAAAUUUGUUAACCUCUUGGCGUUGCUUCUAAUCCAGAGACACUUCCAGUCUUCAUCUUUCAGGACCUGGCUCAGAGAUUGGUGUCUCUGAAAGCUUAGAAGCACUGACCUCAAGAGAAGAGGUAAUCUCUCUCCUGUAUUUUUUUUUUCCACGCCCCAGAAGCUCAUCACUUAAGAGCCAGGGAUAACUUCAUUUCUUUUUGUUGGUUACAAAACGCCACGCUAUAAAGCUGUGUUGAGUAGUAGCUUGUGAUCUCAGAAAAGCUUACAGUUUAACAGCAAGCAUUCAUAAAUCAAACCAAGCUUUAUGUGUCGGGAAGUAGUAGUCAAGAUUCUAUUAUGGGAGCAGAAAAGCAUGUUGGAAAGAAACCUUCUUGGGCAAGUGGGAGGAGGAGAGAUGGAAAUAAAAUCUGAAAUCUUUCUUAGCUCAAAUAAAGAAAGAAAAAAGGAAGAAGGAUUUGAGUUCUGUGUAGUUUGUGCUGAGUUUUUGUCACUUGUUUCAUCAGGAAAUGGAGUGUACGUGCACUUUUUUGGUUUGCAAUGCAUAGUUGCAUAGCCAUUCUUUAACAUCUGUAACACAGUGGUCAUUUCUUAUAAAGCUCAGCAUUCACUCUGCUGCUUUUUGAUGGUGCGAAGAGCUUAGUGGAACUGCCUUGGGGAUGUCUUCCUCUGCCAAUGACAGAAAUCCUAGCACUGCUGCGUGACUGAUCACCAUGUAAUACUUUUUCAUAUAAAAUUUGGGAUUUAAAAUCCUGAACUCAGAAUUGAUCAAAAAUUACUAGAACAAGGACAACCUCUGUCUAGGGCACUUUUUAAGGCAACUUAGUUCUCACCCACUUGCUUUCCUGUAGUGAUUUAUGUGUUCUUCAGAUGCUGUGUAUUGAAGCAAGAUCAUGAAGUCUCAGUGUGCUUGAAAGGCCCAUCACUAAAGGUGCACCAUUAAGGAAGAGGAUGAUUUUAUCUUGUGUCUCUCCCCAGGUGUCCUGGAUAAUGAUGUUACUGUAUAUCCCUUAAAAGUGUUAUUAGAUGUGAUGAGAAUUAAUGUUCUUUUGUCCCCCCCCCUUCGAACAGUUGUACUAUGAAGAAUGGGGUGAGUUGUACUGUGGAGAAAGUGGAGAUGCUGUGCAUUCAUACUGAAAUUUCGUAAUGGAAAUGGUUUUAAAAUCAAUUCUUUCCAACUGAGGAAAAAGUAUCUUCAGAAACAGCCAAUGAACACAUUUGGUGACAUGGAAGACCCUAACAGGCAGAGAUGAGACCAGGUGCACAAGGAACUAUAAAGUACUGUAUAUCUGAAGACAUAUAUUUAUUAAAGAAGAAAAUUAAAACACGUUCUUUGUAGCUAAAGAAUCCAUUUAAACUGGUUUAAACAAUACACUGAAACUUGUCUAAUUCUGAAUUACUACUGUUUCUAAUAAGAGAUCAAUGAAAAAAGCUUGAGAGUCUGUGUAAGGCAAAGCUUUGGGUGAGCAGGUGAGGGACUAAUCUUGAUGUAGUUGAAUGGUAUUAAAAUAAGAUUUAAGAAAGCAAAAAAAAAACACCCCCUGUUUUCAAGUUAAAUGGACUUUGUAUUAAAACCUCAAGAGUCAUUCUGUGCGUUGUAACACUUGCAGGAUAGGAGAGCGUUGCUUUUGUUUACAGUCUUCCUUCUGUAAGAGCAGGACACCAAGGUGUGUAUGAGCUAUGUGUACAAAUGGAUUUAUUUUUUACAUUUAUUUAUAGCUUUACACAUUAUUGAUCUACAGCCAGAGGCAGAGAAGAGUAUGAUAUAUGAGUUCAUAGCUCUGCUUGGCAGCUGAGACUGCUUCCUAUGAGAGAAUAAAUACACACUGCAGCUGCAUGUGCAGGGACACAGGCAGCUCAAGCUCCAUGAGGCCAGUCUGGUUUUGUUCAAACUUCCCAUGUGUGCUGCUGAAGAGCAGGCGAGCAAAGUAACUUCUGCAUCUUUAGUUAGCAAAGAACAUCAGCUAUGUAGCUGAUGUCCAUUUUCUGCAGUGUACCAGAGUUGGAAUAGCUUGUCUUGUAAUUGUGCAGACUUUAAUUAGCCUUGGAAGUUUUUUGGUUGGCCUAGUGGUGAAUGAUCCCAGGCAGAGUCAGACUGUCAGUGUGAGUUCUAGGUAAGCUUUAACAAAGUUUAGUCUAAUCUGAACAGUGGAAAAAAUAGAUGAGAAGGAAAAACAUAUGCUAUUGGGGUAAAACAGUGAUGCGUGUUGGUAUUACUGUCCUUUAUGGAAAUUUGAGCACUCCUAGAGCUGCUUCAGUUCUGUUAUGUGUGCAACAUCAAACUGUUAUGUUCUCAAAAUACUUAAAUAGCAUGGAAGUGCAGAGUGACCAUUCUGAUGUGGUGUUCAGUGGGGUGCUUGCUGGAGUUAUCAAAGCCACUGGGUUCCACCCUGAAGCAACCUAAGGCCUGGAGAGCCCCAUGGCAGGGCAGUGUGAUGGUCAGAGCUUAGACAGGAUGAAGCACAGGGGUAAGCAUUUGCACCUAUAGAACAACUUCCAAAUGUAUGUAUAGCUGCAGUGACUCCUGCUAAGGAAAAUUAAUUUGUAUAUGAGAGUAAUACAUAACUUUCUGUCCUGGCUCAAGAGUGAGUGAGCUGGCUGUGUACAAAAAGCUAUAGCAAAUACUUGGCACAGUGCUAAUAAGCUGCCACAGCUACUUGUGAACCUGCUGAGCAUUUGUUCACCGAAGACUUUUUACCACCUCCGUAGCACUUCCUCCUUCUUUGGUCUAAAAUUAGAGCCCAGAUUAGAAGGGAAGCAGGGAGAAACCCAGGCGCUUCACUGAUUGUCACCAGAGAUGCUUUUUUUCUUUUUUUCUUCUUAACUGAGGCAACUAAAACCUGGAUUCGUAUGUUCUUGGCUUCCUCCUGCCUUCUAUAAACUAUGAGAUGUGGUGGAAUUACGUCUCCAGCUUUGCAGCACGAAGGAUUAACAUAAAGUUAAACAGUCCAUAAAGCUGUCAGAGUGCAGCACAAGCUCACAGCAGUUUGUGUGAUGAGCGAAGGGCUCUCAGGUAGCUAGGAGCAGCUGGACUGAGACAACAACAGCAGAACUGUGUAGAGCUGAUUGCUGAGUGGCAAACUCUAUGUCGCUGAUUAAAUACUUUG
RNA transcript from Lagopus muta (rock ptarmigan), 7510 nucleotides. It is a transcript of the gene named 2-oxoglutarate and iron dependent oxygenase domain containing 3, with no coding region annotated. The record is from RefSeq and is a predicted model, not a curated record. The transcript is spliced from 10 exons. Lineage: Eukaryota; Metazoa; Chordata; Aves; Galliformes; Phasianidae.